This 253-nucleotide ribosomal RNA is filed under the name uncultured bacterium. Its description in RNAcentral is "partial 16S ribosomal RNA". It matches the Rfam family "Bacterial small subunit ribosomal RNA", at positions 524 to 776 of the family's 1533-position model. The record is from RNAcentral.
UACGAAGGGUGCAAACGUUGCUCGGGAUCAUUGGGCGUAAAGCGCGCGUAGGCGGUUACUUAUGUCGGAUGGGAAAGCCCUCGGCUUAACUGAGGAAGUGCAUUCGAAACUGGGUAGCUAGAGUACUAAAGAGGGUCGCGGAAUUCCCGGUGUAGAGGUGAAAUUCGUAGAUAUCGGGAGGAACACCGGUGGCGAAGGCGGCGACCUGGGUAGAUACUGACGCUGAGGCGCGAAAGCGUGGGGAGCAAACAGG